RNAcentral lists this ribosomal RNA (252 nucleotides) under uncultured bacterium. RNAcentral describes it as "partial 16S ribosomal RNA". It matches the Rfam family "Bacterial small subunit ribosomal RNA", at positions 524 to 776 of the family's 1533-position model. The record is from RNAcentral.
UACGUAUGUCGCAAGCGUUAUCCGGAUUUAUUGGGCGUAAAGCGCGUCUAGGUGGUUUGGUAAGUCUGAUGUGAAAAUGCGGGGCUCAACUCCGUAUUGCGUUGGAAACUGUCAAACUAGAGUACUGGAGAGGUGGGCGGAACUACAAGUGUAAAGGUGAAAUUCGUAGAUAUUUGUAGGAAUGCCGAUGGAGAAGUCAGCCCACUGGACAGAUACUGACGCUGAAGCGCGAAAGCGUGGGUAGCAAACAGG